GUCCACGCCUAACGAUGAUUACUCGACAUUGGCGAUAUACAGUUCAGUGUCCAAGCGAAGCGUUAAGUAAUCCACCUGGGAGUACGACCGCAAGGUUGAACUCAAGGAAUUGACGGGUCCGCACAAGCGGUGGAGCAUGUGAUUUAAUUCGAUGAUACGCGAGGAACCUUACCUGGGCUAGAAUGCACUUUGACCGCUGCUGAAAGGUAGCUUUCUUCGGAACAAAGUGCAAGGUGCUGCAUGGCUGUCGU
This 251-nucleotide ribosomal RNA is filed under the name uncultured bacterium. Its description in RNAcentral is "partial 16S ribosomal RNA". It matches the Rfam family "Bacterial small subunit ribosomal RNA", at positions 793 to 1055 of the family's 1533-position model. The record is from RNAcentral.